AGACCCGAAACCCGGUGAUCUAGCCAUGGGCAGGUUGAAGGUUGGGUAACACUAACUGGAGGACCGAACCGACUAAUGUUGAAAAAUUAGCGGAUGACCUGUGGCUGGGGGUGAAAGGCCAAUCAAACCGGGAGAUAGCUGGUUCUCCCCGAAAGCUAUUUAGGUAGCGCCUCGUGAAUUCAUCUCCGGGGGUAGAGCACUGUUUCGGCUAGGGGGCCAUCCCGGCUUACCAACCCGAUGCAAACUGCGAAUACCGGAGAAUGUUAUCACGGGAGACACACGGCGGGUGCUAACGUCCGUCGUGAAGAGGGAAACAACCCAGACCGCCAGCUAAGGUCCCAAAGUCAUGGUUAAGUGGGAAACGAUGUGGGAAGGCCCAGACAGCCAGGAUGUUGGCUUAGAAGCAGCCAUCAUUUAAAGAAAGCGUAAUAGCUCACUGGUCGAGUCGGCCUGCGCGGAAGAUGUAACGGGGCUAAACCAUGCACCGAAGCUGCGGCAGCGACGCUGAUGCGUUGUUGGGUAGGGGAGCGUUCUGUAAGCCUGCGAAGGUGGCCUGUGAGGGUUGCUGGAGGUAUCAGAAGUGCGAAUGCUGACAUAAGUAACGAUAAAGCGGGUGAAAAGCCCGCUCGCCGGAAGACCAAGGGUUCCUGUCCAACGUUAAUCGGGGCAGGGUGAGUCGACCCCUAAGGCGAGGCCGAAAGGCGUAGUCGAUGGGAAACGGGUUAAUAUUCCCGUACUUGGUGUUACUGCGAAGGGGGGACGGAGAAGGCUAUGUUGGCCGGGCGACGGUUGUCCCGGUUUAAGCGUGUAGGUGUGUGUUCCAGGUAAAUCCGGUUCACUUUAACACUGAGGCGUGAUGACGAGGCACUACGGUGCUGAAGCAACAAAUGCCCUGCUUCCAGGAAAAGCCUCUAAGCAUCAGGUAACAUCAAAUCGUACCCCAAACCGACACAGGUGGUCAGGUAGAGAAUACCAAGGCGCUUGAGAGAACUCGGGUGAAGGAACUAGGCAAAAUGGUGCCGUAACUUCGGGAGAAGGCACGCUGACAUGUAGGUGAAGUGAUUUACUCACGGAGCUGAAGUCAGUCGAAGAUACCAGCUGGCUGCAACUGUUUAUUAAAAACACAGCACUGUGCAAACACGAAAGUGGACGUAUACGGUGUGACGCCUGCCCGGUGCCGGAAGGUUAAUUGAUGGGGUCAGCGCAAGCGAAGCUCCUGAUCGAAGCCCCGGUAAACGGCGGCCGUAACUAUAACGGUCCUAAGGUAGCGAAAUUCCUUGUCGGGUAAGUUCCGACCUGCACGAAUGGCGUAAUGAUGGCCAGGCUGUCUCCACCCGAGACUCAGUGAAAUUGAACUCGCUGUGAAGAUGCAGUGUACCCGCGGCAAGACGGAAAGACCCCGUGAACCUUUACUAUAGCUUGACACUGAACAUUGAGCCUUGAUGUGUAGGAUAGGUGGGAGGCUUUGAAGCGUGGACGCCAGUCUGCGUGGAGCCGACCUUGAAAUACCACCCUUUAAUGUUUGAUGUUCUAACGUGGACCCGUAAUCCGGGUUGCGGACAGUGUCUGGUGGGUAGUUUGACUGGGGCGGUCUCCUCCUAAAGAGUAACGGAGGAGCACGAAGGUUGGCUAAUCCUGGUCGGACAUCAGGAGGUUAGUGCAAUGGCAUAAGCCAGCUUGACUGCGAGCGUGACGGCGCGAGCAGGUGCGAAAGCAGGUCAUAGUGAUCCGGUGGUUCUGAAUGGAAGGGCCAUCGCUCAACGGAUAAAAGGUACUCCGGGGAUAACAGGCUGAUACCGCCCAAGAGUUCAUAUCGACGGCGGUGUUUGGCACCUCGAUGUCGGCUCAUCACAUCCUGGGGCUGAAGUAGGUCCCAAGGGUAUGGCUGUUCGCCAUUUAAAGUGGUACGCGAGCUGGGUUUAGAACGUCGUGAGACAGUUCGGUCCCUAUCUGCCGUGGGCGCUGGAGAACUGAGGGGGGCUGCUCCUAGUACGAGAGGACCGGAGUGGACGCAUCACUGGUGUUCGGGUUGUCAUGCCAAUGGCACUGCCCGGUAGCUAAAUGCGGAAGAGAUAAGUGCUGAAAGCAUCUAAGCACGAAACUUGCCCCGA
RNAcentral lists this ribosomal RNA (2111 nucleotides) under Salmonella enterica. RNAcentral describes it as "partial 23S ribosomal RNA". It matches the Rfam family "Bacterial large subunit ribosomal RNA", at positions 711 to 2802 of the family's 2925-position model. The record is from RNAcentral. Lineage: Bacteria; Pseudomonadati; Pseudomonadota; Gammaproteobacteria; Enterobacterales; Enterobacteriaceae.